Molecule: ribosomal RNA, 431 nt
Filed under: Synergistetes bacterium oral taxon D62
Lineage: Bacteria; Thermotogati; Synergistota
Description: bacterial SSU rRNA
Rfam family: Bacterial small subunit ribosomal RNA
Source: RNAcentral
GAUGAACGCUUGCGGCGGCGUAACACAUGCAAGUUAGUCGCGGUGUCAAGAAGUGGUAACCGAUUGAUAUCGGAGUAGCGGAGGUGAGUAAAGCAUAGAACUGUCCUACCACGGUAACGUCCGGAAACGGACCCUAAUACCCCAUAGUCCGAGAGGUUAAAGGCAGAGAUGUGCCGUAGGAGGUGCUCGUGUCCUAUCAGCUAGUUGGUGAGGUAAGGGCUCACCAAGGCGACGACGGGUAGCCGGCCUGAGAGGGUGACCGGCCACACUGGAACUGAGAUACGGUCCAGACUCCUACGGGAGGCAGCAGUGGGGAAUAUUGGGCAAUGGGAGGAAUCCUGACCCAGCGACGCCGCGUGAACGAAGACGGCCUUCGGGUUGUAAAGUUCUUUUAUGUGGAAGAAGGAAGUGACGGUACCACAUGAAUAAGC